GUGUAUUCCUGAGGCUGCCGUGCAUCCCGUCACCCUAGAGCCAGAACUGGAGAUUGUCUCGGGAGCUGCGAGCCCGGGGAGGAAGAGCCUUUGUGGAGAAUACACAUCAACUCCAUUAACGAUGUUUUCGGAGUCCGUCAAUAACUCACCAAAACGUAACUUAAACACGAUGAAUUUAGGAGAUUAAACAAUUUCAUUAAUAUUGAAAUGGCCGCUGAGGCUGAGCGCGCGCGCUUGAAAUGCAAGCACACGUUUUUCAAUAUUAACAGAAGUACUUGAAAAGAAGAAUAAUGUCACCUUCUUAAUUCAGCAAAAAUAGCCGGGCUGGGGGAGGGAGAGCGGCGGCGGCUCUGCAGCGCGGCUGCUGAGACACGGAGGGACGGUCCCCAUCAAGCAGGGCUCCCCCAAACCUGGCAGGGAGCCUCAAAACGCAUUUUCCCAUCGCGACCAGCGCCGACCUCGUGGGUGUUAAACCGUGCUCCCCUCGUCCCAGCCCGGCUGCCCUCGGUCCCAUCUAAUCCCUCUCUCUCGGGGCAGGAUGUCGUUUAGAGAAUAAUAAAAAGAAAAAACCAAACCAGCUGAUGCAAAAAGGAGCCCGCAAGCUGUAAAGUUAAAGGAAAGUCGGCUUCCGUUGUCAUUUGCUGCUCCGAGUGCAGACGAGGAGGGAUCGACCCGGUGUCAGCAAAGGCUCCGCAGAGGAAAGGGAGACCGAUGGAAAUGUGUUUUAAAAGUCACCUCUAUUUCAGCACCGAGCGCCGAAUUUGCCCAAAAAGUCAUUUCCCAUACAGAAGUCACUAUUCCUCCAGUAUCUGGAAACCAGCACCCUGAAAAACAGCGACACUGGUGGGCAAUUCCACUCAUGUCAGAGGCUGUUACUACUUUAACUGUUGUCUCUGAAGUGGUUUGGAGAAGCAAAUCACCAAAGAUUUCCAAAACUCUCUGGUGAAGUUUAAGCAAUGAAUGACACCAAAGACAUUGCUCUGUGAAGUUGCUGCUGGUUGGUUUUGUCCCUUGUGUUUGUCAGGAUUCAGCCAGGUGCUCACUGCUCCCUCAGCUCUGUCCAUGAAUGUCUCUCUAGCUCAUCCUUG
Molecule: long non-coding RNA, 1088 nt
Filed under: Zonotrichia albicollis (white-throated sparrow)
Lineage: Eukaryota; Metazoa; Chordata; Aves; Passeriformes; Passerellidae
Description: lncRNA (ENSZALG00000009570.1)
Source: RNAcentral